UACAGAGGUCUCAAGCGUUGUUCGGAAUCACUGGGCGUAAAGGGUGCGUAGGCCGCACGGAAAGUCAGAGGUGAAAUCCCGGAGCUCAACUUCGGAAUUGCCUCCGAUACUCCCGCGCUUGAGGACUGGAGAGGAGUCUGGAAUUCACAGUGGAGCAGUGAAAUGCGUAGAUAUUGUGAGGAACACUAGUGGCGAAGGCGAGACUCUGGACAGUUCCUGACGCUGAGGCACGAAGGCCAGGGGAGCAAACGGG
This 253-nucleotide ribosomal RNA is filed under the name uncultured bacterium. RNAcentral describes it as "partial 16S ribosomal RNA". It matches the Rfam family "Bacterial small subunit ribosomal RNA", at positions 524 to 776 of the family's 1533-position model. The record is from RNAcentral.